Molecule: transfer RNA, 75 nt
Filed under: Acidobacteriota bacterium
Lineage: Bacteria; Pseudomonadati; Acidobacteriota
Also listed under: 2 other names
Description: Acidobacteria bacterium (rhizosphere metagenome) tRNA-Val
Rfam family: tRNA
About the family: Transfer RNA (tRNA) molecules are approximately 80 nucleotides in length.
Source: RNAcentral
GCGGGGUUAGCUCAGCGGUAGAGCAUCUCGCUUACACCGAGGGGGUCGGGGGUUCGAAUCCCUCACUCCGCACCA